Gymnodraco acuticeps is the source of this 1270-nucleotide long non-coding RNA. RefSeq lists it as uncharacterized. The transcript has 4 exons. Lineage: Eukaryota; Metazoa; Chordata; Actinopteri; Perciformes; Bathydraconidae. The record is from RefSeq and is a predicted model, not a curated record.
UGGAUGGUCUGGAUGCAGACCGCAGCAAGGAGGCGGAUCCUAUAGGGGCGGAUCCUAACUUUUUUUAUCCAAUAGAAUAAUGACACUCAGCAGAAAUACAUACUGUAGGUGGCAGUAAUGCAACUUAAGGGAUUCCAGCUGCUUUUAUAAAUCCUCGCAGAAGAAGUAAUUCGUUCUUUCAAGAUGGCCGAACAACAAGUUGAAACAGCGAUUCACCCAACUGUUUACAAGGGGAUGCCCUUAUAACACCCCUUUGUGAAGGCACUAAUAAAUACAAGUGCAAAUUCUGCAGCAAGGUGGGGGACUAUGGCCAUAUUGCGGCACAUCUGCAGACCCAUAGGAGAACGGCUGUUAAACAUGGAGGAUUCACAAUGUACAGGUGCAAUGGGGUGUGUUGCAAAUCUCCACAUUUCCACUGCUGCUACUGUGGGGAGUUCAGAACCCAGCCCACUAUUAUGAAUCAUGUUCAGAAGUGCGCAGUGGCAGCCUGCAGCGUUGGAUCGCUUCGCCAGACCGCCACUGUCUCCUCCUCAGCCUCCACAGUGGCCUCCUCAGCCUACCCUGUCACCUCUGCAGCCUCGCAAAUUGCCACAGCAUCUGUAGCCUCCACUCCACUCCAAGCCAUCAGUCGCAGCAAAGUAGUCCAGUCAAGGGCCAAAAGGACAACAUGCCCUUUGUGUAAAACUGAAUUAUAUAUGAAAAACCUCAAGACCCACAUGGAUCGACGUCACUCAUCAUCUGUUCCUGAUAUUACUUCUAAUCACCAUCUUCCAUCCCAAUGCUUAGACCUCAAAAAUGGCAUUUUUGCUGUUGGAAGAACAUUUUCUGGGCUGAGAAACCCCAUUCAUGUACAGAAGUUCACCUGGGGAAACAGCCACCAAGUUGUUUGUGAGCUUGAAAAUUGCAAGCAGGCAUCAGCAUUUUCCAGAAGAAGUAACUUAUUAGGGUUUGAGUGUAUUCAUGUUAGGUCUCUGAUAUACUGUCCUACUUCAUCCAAACCAGACGUCACACUGAAGGAGGAAGUUCUAUCAGAUAUGGUUGGGAAGAAAUGGAUUUCUGACAACACAAAAAUAAUGUGUCUAGUCAGAAAGGAGAAAGCUGAGUCUGAAAACAGCCCACUGAGUAAAGUGGUGACAUUUUGCAGUGGCGCAUCAAGAGUUUGUGUCAGUACUUGAAACAUGCACCUCAUAUUAUUCGCGGUUAGGGAGAGUGUCUGUAUGUUAUGACAUAAAAAGAAAUGCUUGGCAGCAGGGCCGGCCCUGACCAAUUU